UGCGCCUGCACCAAUCGAAAGAUCUCGGGUCUCAAUCCCUGCUCGAACAGAUAAACUCGAUGCGCCUCGUCUCGAGCCACAAAAGGAACACAAUUCAGGAGUCGAGUAAACUCCCGGAUGUACUCCUGAAUUGUCCGCUCGUCCUGCUGAAUUCUCUUCAGAUUCUUCUCGAGCUUCUGUUUCACGCUAUUGGAAAAAUACAUCCCGAACAGCAUUCCACAAAACUCGUCCCACUUCAGCUGCAACGCCACUAAUCCAUAGUCUCGUCUCACCCUCCUCCACCAGGCGUGAGCAUCGCCUUCUAAGCAGUGUACUCCCAAAGACACCUG
RNAcentral lists this long non-coding RNA (329 nucleotides) under Ananas comosus (pineapple). RNAcentral's name for it is "long non-coding RNA (ACOM_LNC026463)". The record is from RNAcentral. Lineage: Eukaryota; Viridiplantae; Streptophyta; Magnoliopsida; Poales; Bromeliaceae.